Molecule: RNA transcript, 2869 nt
Organism: Capsicum annuum
Lineage: Eukaryota; Viridiplantae; Streptophyta; Magnoliopsida; Solanales; Solanaceae
Gene name: ran-binding protein 6
Exons: 9
Source: RefSeq, a predicted model, not a curated record
UCCCACUAGCAUAGACAAUACACCAGCCUACACAGUGAGACGAGGAAGGGAGGAUAAAAAAAGAUUAUCAUCAUCUUCAGAGAGACGCCAUUUUGAGCUCUCUUCUUUUCUUCUUUUCGCAAUUCACGCACAAGAAACCACCAUUAACAUACAAUUUUACACAUAAAAAAUCACACACCAGGAAAAUAGAGACUCUAUUUUUCCUCUCUCUUCGUCAUAAGCACACGUACACAGUGAGAUGAGGAAGAUAGGGAGAGUAGAUCAGUGGAAAAAAUGGCGUGAGAGAGAAAUGAGAUAAUGAAAAUUUGGGACGAAAUAGGAAGAUCGAGAAAAGAGAGUUGAGAUCGAGAGAGAGAAGGGUAACACGGAGCUGAGGGAACACAAGUUUCGUAGUUUGGUUCCUGUUCCAACGAUAGAUUCACCGAAAAUAGAUCUAAGCCAUCACAAAUCCGUUCAAAACCUAUCAAAAUACGUCACCACUGGUAUUUCUUUGUCAAAUCGGUCAUCGCCUAAGUUUACUGGAGUUACGGUGACACAAAACAGUCAAACAAGCCUCGAACUGCUUUCGAUUCCAUCCAAACCCGUUGGAAUCGAGCUGGAUUUCUCUUAUUUCUCACGAUUUUAAGUUCGAGGUUGGGCGGGUUCAUCCAAAUCUGGUCCAGGUUUCUCUGUUUUGUGAUCUUAGUUUUGAGUUGGACGAGUUUGUUCGAUUGAGGUUCAACUUGAGGUUUCUGGGAGCAGACUCUCUUUAUCCGAGUAACACUGAAUUUAAAAAAGCAUCAAAUUGAGACUCCGGAUACUCUCUGUUGGCUAUUGCUACUCUCCGUCGGCCAUUGCUACUCUGGUGUCUAUGGUCGGUCAUUGCUACUCCGGCCAGGUAAAUGCUUCUCUCUUUAACCUCAAUUUUUUAUUUUUGUGUGUGGUUUUGUCGAUGAGAUAUUCGGACACUUGCAUUUUAAUUUUCAAUGCUAAUUUACUAGUAAUUUCAAAGUCUUAUUUAUGAUAGAUUGUCAGAACUUCAAUGAAAAUGGAGUAUGGCAUAAAAGAUGAACUUCAAAGUUUCAUAUGUUUUUAGGGAAUUUGAUGAUUCCUUUGUUCGUGGCAAUUGAUGAAGAGGAGCUUGUUUGUAGUCUUCUUAAGGAUUUGAUUGUUUUAGCUGGUAUAAAGGCCAAGUAUUUUAGUGUUGAAAUUGGUGUUGUGAUUUGAGGUUAGGCUAAAAGUUAAGGAAACUUGUUAUUGAGUUUGUGGUUACUGUUGCUGAAGAUAGAGAGAGUGGAUGUGAGAUGAUGCAGAUGGUUCUGAACAAAGAAGUUACUAAGUUGCUUCUUGUGUUGAUUGAUAUGUUGGUGCAUAUUGGAGAUGACCCUUGUUGGGGAGACGCGAUUAACGAUGAUGGAAAUGAAGGGGAGUUGAGUAUGUGUAGUUAUGGUAAGGAGAGUUUGGGUAGGUUAGCAAUUGUAUUAGGGGGAAGUGUAAUUGUGCCUAAUUUGCCUUCGACGAUUUUCAACUUUUUGGAUCAUGAAGAUUGGCAAAUUCAUUAUUCUGUUGUUACUGCGAUUGGGGUUAUAUCGGAGGGUUGUUCAAAGGUGAUAGUAAUAUGCUCAAAGGAUAUGAAGCACCUUGUAGAGACUAUAGUGAAACUAAUCUUUGAUAAUCACCCUCGUGUGCGAUGGGUAGUGAUUCAUGCAGUUGGUCAGCUAUCAAUACAUAUAAGCCCGCAGUUUCAAGAACCAUAUCAUUAGCUGGUUCUUCCAGAUUUGAUAACAAUAUUGGAUGAUUUUGAUAAUCCCAGGUUGCAGGUAAAUUCUUGAUGUGAUGUUGAUGUUUCAAUGUUAUAGCAUCUUGUUAAUGACAUAUGACCGAUGUAUUGACUCUUUGUUCUCUAGUUGAACAGUUAUAUAGCGUGGCAAGUACAUGUCGUUGCCUACUAAUCUUUCUUGUUUGAAUAGGCACGUGCAACUUUAACGAUACUGGUGUUCAGCCACAAUUGAAGUGCAGAUAUUUUGAAACCUUACCUGCACAAUAUAGUGAGUAAACUAGUCGUGUUUCUACAGAGUGGAAUGACAAUGAUGAACGAAGCAGCUCUGGAAACUUUAGGCUCUUUAGCUAUUCAAUCACAGCUGCUACUAGUGAUACAAGUCAAACGCUCCAUGCCAAAUACUUGGGAACGCAUUACCAUGAUUACAAUAGAGGUUGGAAAUCUAGCAAUCGUUGAUCUUGUUGCAAAGGUCGCUGCCGCACUCGUUUCGCUGCAAGAAACUCAUAUGGAGGAAGAAGAUCCAAUGAGGUGCCUUUUGUUACAAGCAUGGGGUAGACUAUGUAAAUGCUUAGGGGCAGAUUUCAAUAUCUACCUGGGCCUACAUGUUAACUGGAUAAUAAAAUGUGAAAGUUGCUAAAGGGAAAUACAACAGGCACUUGUAGAGAUUGGUGACAAAGAUCCUUCAUUUAUCGGGUCAAGUGAAUGGAUUGGAGCCAUUGAAUUGAGUUUUGUUUUGGAUAAACUAAUUGGACUUAGUUACAAAAUCAUAAAUGUUAGAUCUGGAGCUGAACUUCCUGAAAAGUGUCGAGAAUCGGCGUUGCAUUUUGAGAAUCAAGGAACUUCUGUCAUGAUUGCCAAGUGAUGCGGCUAGUGGAUUCAUUUUGCCCAUGAAUGUAAGGAUAUCACGUGAUGAUAAUGAUCCUAAUGACAUUCCUCGAUUUCGUUGCAUUUGUCUUGGAUAUUCAAUUAUGAUGAUGUAAUUGUGUGGUUGGAGUAAAUCUUAGAAUAUUAAAGGUUUUGUGUUUAAAUUUGACUUUGUAGUUUGAAGAUACUAGUUAAUGAUGAAAAUUUGGAUUUUGAAGAUGUUAAUGUUGAAAAUUUAAUUUUGAA